Molecule: ribosomal RNA, 429 nt
Filed under: Bacteroidota bacterium
Lineage: Bacteria; Pseudomonadati; Bacteroidota
Description: Bacteroidetes bacterium partial 16S ribosomal RNA
Rfam family: Bacterial small subunit ribosomal RNA
Source: RNAcentral
UAGGGAAUCUUCCGCAAUGGACGCAAGUCUGACGGAGCAACGCCGCGUGAGUGAAGAAGGAUUUCGGUUCGUAAAACUCUGUUGUUAGAGAAGAACAGCGCAUAGAGUAACUGUUAUGCGUGUGACGGUAUCUAACCAGAAAGCCACGGCUAACUACGUGCCAGCAGCCGCGGUAAUACGUAGGGUGCAAGCGUUGUCCGGAUUUAUUGGGCGUAAAGCGAGCGCAGGCGGUCAAUUAAGUCUGAUGUGAAAGCCCCCGGCUCAACCGGGGAGGGUCAUUGGAAACGGGUUGACUUGAGUGCAGAAGAGGAGAGUGGAAUUCCAUGUGUAGCGGUGAAAUGCGUAGAUAUAUGGAGGAACACCAGUGGCGAAGGCGACUCUCUGGUCUGUAACUGACGAUGAGGCUCGAAAGCGUGGGUAGCAAACAGG